RNAcentral lists this ribosomal RNA (2905 nucleotides) under Escherichia coli. RNAcentral describes it as "23S ribosomal RNA". It matches the Rfam family "Bacterial large subunit ribosomal RNA". Lineage: Bacteria; Pseudomonadati; Pseudomonadota; Gammaproteobacteria; Enterobacterales; Enterobacteriaceae. The record is from RNAcentral.
GGUUAAGCGACUAAGCGUACACGGUGGAUGCCCUGGCAGUCAGAGGCGAUGAAGGACGUGCUAAUCUGCGAUAAGCGUCGGUAAGGUGAUAUGAACCGUUAUAACCGGCGAUUUCCGAAUGGGGAAACCCAGUGUGAUUCGUCACACUAUCAUUAACUGAAUCCAUAGGUUAAUGAGGCGAACCGGGGGAACUGAAACAUCUAAGUACCCCGAGGAAAAGAAAUCAACCGAGAUUCCCCCAGUAGCGGCGAGCGAACGGGGAGGAGCCCAGAGCCUGAAUCAGUGUGUGUGUUAGUGGAAGCGUCUGGAAAGGCGCGCGAUACAGGGUGACAGCCCCGUACACAAAAAUGCACAUGCUGUGAGCUCGAUGAGUAGGGCGGGACACGUGGUAUCCUGUCUGAAUAUGGGGGACCAUCCUCCAAGGCUAAAUACUCCUGACUGACCGAUAGUGAACCAGUACCGUGAGGGAAAGGCGAAAAGAACCCCGGCGAGGGGAGUGAAAAAGAACCUGAAACCGUGUACGUACAAGCAGUGGGAGCACAGAGCAAUCUGUGUGACUGCGUACCUUUUGUAUAAUGGGUCAGCGACUUAUAUUCUGUAGCAAGGUUAACCGAAUAGGGGAGCCGAAGGGAAACCGAGUCUUAACUGGGCGUUAAGUUGCAGGGUAUAGACCCGAAACCCGGUGAUCUAGCCAUGGGCAGGUUGAAGGUUGGGUAACACUAACUGGAGGACCGAACCGACUAAUGUUGAAAAAUUAGCGGAUGACUUGUGGCUGGGGGUGAAAGGCCAAUCAAACCGGGAGAUAGCUGGUUCUCCCCGAAAGCUAUUUAGGUAGCGCCUCGUGAAUUCAUCUCCGGGGGUAGAGCACUGUUUCGGCAAGGGGGUCAUCCCGACUUACCAACCCGAUGCAAACUGCGAAUACCGGAGAAUGUUAUCACGGGAGACACACGGCGGGUGCUAACGUCCGUCGUGAAGAGGGAAACAACCCAGACCGCCAGCUAAGGUCCCAAAGUCAUGGUUAAGUGGGAAACGAUGUGGGAAGGCCCAGACAGCCAGGAUGUUGGCUUAGAAGCAGCCAUCAUUUAAAGAAAGCGUAAUAGCUCACUGGUCGAGUCGGCCUGCGCGGAAGAUGUAACGGGGCUAAACCAUGCACCGAAGCUGCGGCAGCGACACUGUGUGUUGUUGGGUAGGGGGAGCGUUCUGUAAGCCUGUGAAGGUGUGCUGUGAGGCAUGCUGGAGGUAUCAGAAGUGCGAAUGCUGACAUAAGUAACGAUAAAGCGGGUGAAAAGCCCGCUCGCCGGAAGACCAAGGGUUCCUGUCCAACGUUAAUCGGGGCAGGGUGAGUCGACCCCUAAGGCGAGGCCGAAAGGCGUAGUCGAUGGGAAACAGGUUAAUAUUCCUGUACUUGGUGUUACUGCGAAGGGGGGACGGAGAAGGCUAUGUUGGCCGGGCGACGGUUGUCCCGGUUUAAGCGUGUAGGCUGGUUUUCCAGGCAAAUCCGGAAAAUCAAGGCUGAGGCGUGAUGACGAGGCACUACGGUGCUGAAGCAACAAAUGCCCUGCUUCCAGGAAAAGCCUCUAAGCAUCAGGUAACAUCAAAUCGUACCCCAAACCGACACAGGUGGUCAGGUAGAGAAUACCAAGGCGCUUGAGAGAACUCGGGUGAAGGAACUAGGCAAAAUGGUGCCGUAACUUCGGGAGAAGGCACGCUGAUAUGUAGGUGAAGUCCCUCGCGGAUGGAGCUGAAAUCAGUCGAAGAUACCAGCUGGCUGCAACUGUUUAUUAAAAACACAGCACUGUGCAAACACGAAAGUGGACGUAUACGGUGUGACGCCUGCCCGGUGCCGGAAGGUUAAUUGAUGGGGUCAGCGCAAGCGAAGCUCUUGAUCGAAGCCCCGGUAAACGGCGGCCGUAACUAUAACGGUCCUAAGGUAGCGAAAUUCCUUGUCGGGUAAGUUCCGACCUGCACGAAUGGCGUAAUGAUGGCCAGGCUGUCUCCACCCGAGACUCAGUGAAAUUGAACUCGCUGUGAAGAUGCAGUGUACCCGCGGCAAGACGGAAAGACCCCGUGAACCUUUACUAUAGCUUGACACUGAACAUUGAGCCUUGAUGUGUAGGAUAGGUGGGAGGCUUUGAAGUGUGGACGCCAGUCUGCAUGGAGCCGACCUUGAAAUACCACCCUUUAAUGUUUGAUGUUCUAACGUGGACCCGUGAUCCGGGUUGCGGACAGUGUCUGGUGGGUAGUUUGACUGGGGCGGUCUCCUCCUAAAGAGUAACGGAGGAGCACGAAGGUUGGCUAAUCCUCGGUCGGACAUCAGGAGGUUAGUGCAAUGGCAUAAGCCAGCUUGACUGCGAGCGUGACGGCGCGAGCAGGUGCGAAAGCAGGUCAUAGUGAUCCGGUGGUUCUGAAUGGAAGGGCCAUCGCUCAACGGAUAAAAGGUACUCCGGGGAUAACAGGCUGAUACCGCCCAAGAGUUCAUAUCGACGGCGGUGUUUGGCACCUCGAUGUCGGCUCAUCACAUCCUGGGGCUGAAGUAGGUCCCAAGGGUAUGGCUGUUCGCCAUUUAAAGUGGUACGCGAGCUGGGUUUAGAACGUCGUGAGACAGUUCGGUCCCUAUCUGCCGUGGGCGCUGGAGAACUGAGGGGGCUGCUCCUAGUACGAGAGGACCGGAGUGGACGCAUCACUGGUGUUCGGGUUGUCAUGCCAAUGGCACUGCCCGGUAGCUAAAUGCGGAAGAGAUAAGUGCUGAAAGCAUCUAAGCACGAAACUUGCCCCGAGAUGAGUUCUCCCUGACCCUUUAAGGGUCCUGAAGGAACGUUGAAGACGACGACGUUGAUAGGCCGGGUGUGUAAGCGCAGCGAUGCGUUGAGCUAACCGGUACUAAUGAACCGUGAGGCUUAACCUU